RNAcentral lists this ribosomal RNA (468 nucleotides) under uncultured bacterium. Its description in RNAcentral is "partial 16S ribosomal RNA". It matches the Rfam family "Bacterial small subunit ribosomal RNA", at positions 28 to 507 of the family's 1533-position model. The record is from RNAcentral.
GACGAACGCUGGCGGCGUGCUUAACACAUGCAAGUCGAACGGAAAGGCCCUGCUUUUGUGGGGUGCUCGAGUGGAGAAAGGGUGAGUAACACGUGAGUAACCUGUCCUUGACUUUGGGAUAACUUCAGGAAACUGGGGCUAAUAUCGGAUAGGAGCUCCUGAUGCAUGGUGGGGGUUGGAAAGUUUCGGCGGUUGGGGAUGGACUCGCGGCUUAUCAGCUUGUUGGUGGGGUAGUGGCUUACCAAGGCUUUGACGGGUAGCCGGCCUGGGAGGGUGACCGGCCACAUUGGUACUGAGGUAGGGCCCAGACUCGUACGGGGGGCAGCGGUGGGGAAUAUUGCACAAGAGGCGGAAGCCUGAUGCAGCAAAGCCGCGUGCGGAAUGACGGCCUUCGGGUAGUAAACCGCUUUCGCCUGGGACGAAGCGUGAGUGACGGUAAUGGGUAAAGAAGCACCGGCUAACUACGUG